Molecule: ribosomal RNA, 492 nt
Filed under: uncultured bacterium
Lineage: Bacteria
Description: partial 16S ribosomal RNA
Rfam family: Bacterial small subunit ribosomal RNA
Source: RNAcentral
AGUGAACGCUGGCGGUAGGCCUAACACAUGCAAGUCGAACGGCAGCACAGUAAGAGCUUGCUCUUACGGGUGGCGAGUGGCGGACGGGUGAGGAAUACAUCGGAAUCUAAUUUUUCGGGGGGGAUAACGUAGGGAAACUUACGCUAAUACCGCAUACGACCUACGGGUGAAAGCAGGGGAUCUUCGGACCUUGCGCGAUUGAAUGAGCCGAUGUCGGAUUAGCUAGUUGGCGGGGUAAAGGCCCACCAAGGCGACGAUCCGUAGCUGGUCUGAGAGGAUGAUCGGCCACACUGGAACUGAGACACGGUCCAGACUCCUACGGGAGGCAGCAGUAGGGAAUAUUGCACAAUGGGCGCAAGCCUGAUCCAGCCAUACCGCGUGGGUGAAGAAGGCCUUCGGGUUGUAAAGCCCUUUUGUUGGGAAAGAAAAGCAGCAGGUUAAUACCCCGCUGUUCUGACGGUACCCAAAGAAUAAGCACCGGCUAACUUCGUG